Molecule: long non-coding RNA, 1099 nt
Filed under: Elaeis guineensis (African oil palm)
Lineage: Eukaryota; Viridiplantae; Streptophyta; Magnoliopsida; Arecales; Arecaceae
Description: long non-coding RNA (EGUI_LNC007517)
Source: RNAcentral
UGGUGAUACAAAAUGAUUAUUUUGCUGGGCCCAGAAUAAAAUUUGUGACAUCAUUCUCAUCACAUCAACCGAUAGCUCACCUUGAUUAAGUACUAACAUGUCAACAAUGUACUACUUUGCCUUGCUCAAGUAGCUAAACCUCGGUGGAACAUAUGCAGUGGUCAUAGAAAAUUCCCGUUUUGCUGGUCCCAGAACAAAAUUCAUGACAUCAUUCUUCGCAUAUCAACAGAGAGUAAAUUAUGCUGAUAUCCUUAAGUCCUUUAUUUAAUUAUAUUUUGGAUCAUUAAAACACAGCAUUUUCUAAUGGACUUUUUGAAACACCUACGUGUCGUCCAGCACAAGGAGAGUUUGUACGUAGGAAAGCAAGAGUCAUGUGAGUUUAUUUAAUAUGUUUAGCCCUAUAUAAACCCAAAUCUCUUAUUGGCCACACCACCUACAUAACCGGUAUCAAUCACCGCUUUAAUUCAAAGGUUUAGAUUGUAUCUUUCACACAUGAAAGAAUGAUUCAUCUUUUUUUCACGAUGUCAAUUAUUGAAUUAUACAAUAGCCAUUGUGAAACCUAUGCUGAUGGAUUGCAGGAAGAAAUUAGUGAGGGUGCUUCGAGAGUUGUGUUCAAAGAUACAACUCGAAUCUUUAAUUCACAGCCAAGAUAUGGAUUUCACAUGCUUGCAACCGAAAAAUGUACUAAAAGGUUGAGACCAUUGUUUCAAUAUCACAACUAACAACACACACAAAUAUAUAUUUAUAAAAAAAAAGGAAAAAAGAAGUCCACCUUCCCAUCUGUCUCUUUCAGAAAGAGGAGGACCAAACACAAACCCCACUUCAGAUUAAUCUCAACAACAGAAAGCUCCAAACCAAAGAAUCCCCUAAACUUUCACUAGCUACACCUUUCCAUCUCAUUUAACACUUGCAAUAUAAAUAUAUAUAAACAAAUAGAUGAGAGAAGAAUACAGGAUGGUUAAGAAAACGGAACCUAAUCCAAGGGGCCCUUCCUUGCAGUUACCUCUCGAGUUCCAAGUUCCUCAUCCCCUUUCCUAUCUGAACGAAGCUAUCAGACUCCCCAAACUUCUUCUGUGACUCCAGGUCCUCAUCAUCCUCU